CAUAUCAAUAAGCGGAGGAAAAGAAACCAACAGGGAUUGCCUCAGUAACGGCGAGUGAAGCGGCAAAAGCUCAGAUUUGAAAUCUGGCGUCUUCGGCGUCCGAGUUGUAAUCUGUAGAGGAUGCCUUUGGGUGGCCACCGGUCUAAGUCCCCUGGAACGGGGUGUCACAGAGGGUGAGAAUCCCGUAUGUGACCGGGAAGGCGCCCUAUACAUGGCUCCUUCGACGAGUCGAGUUGUUUGGGAAUGCAGCUCUAAAUGGGAGGUAAAUUCCUUCUAAAGCUAAAUACCGGCCAGAGACCGAUAGCGCACAAGUAGAGUGAUCGAAAGAUGAAAAGCACUUUGGAAAGAGAGUUAAAAAGCACGUGAAAUUGUUGAAAGGGAAGCGCUUGCAACCAGACUUGUUGGCGGUGUUCCGCCGGUCUUCUGACCGGUCUACUCACCGUCUGCAGGCCAGCAUCAUCUGGGGCCGCUGGAUAAAAGCGGAGGGAAUGUGGCUCCUCCGGGAGUGUUAUAGCCCUCUGUGUAAUACAGCGAGUCCCGGGUGAGGUCCGCGCUUCGGCUAGGAUGCUGGCGUAAUGGUCGUAAGCGGCCCGUCUUGAAACACGGACCAAGGAGUCUAACAUCUAUGCGAGUGUUCGGGUGUCAAACCCCUACGCGUAAUGAAAGUGAACGGAGGUGGGAACCUUUUAGGUGCACCAUCGACCGAUCCUGAUGUCUUCGGAUGGAUUUGAGUAAGAGCAUAGCUGUUGGGACCCGAAAGAUGGUGAACUAUGCCUGGAUAGGGUGAAGCCAGAGGAAACUCUGGUGGAGGCUCGCAGCGGUUCUGACGUGCAAAUCGAUCGUCAAAUUUGGGUAUAGGG
RNAcentral lists this ribosomal RNA (860 nucleotides) under Leptoxyphium sp. RNAcentral describes it as "partial large subunit ribosomal RNA". It matches the Rfam family "Eukaryotic large subunit ribosomal RNA", at positions 39 to 922 of the family's 3401-position model. Lineage: Eukaryota; Fungi; Ascomycota; Dothideomycetes; Capnodiales; Capnodiaceae. The record is from RNAcentral.